Molecule: ribosomal RNA, 466 nt
Filed under: uncultured bacterium
Lineage: Bacteria
Description: partial 16S ribosomal RNA
Rfam family: Bacterial small subunit ribosomal RNA
Source: RNAcentral
GAUGAACGCUGGCGGCGUGCUUAACACAUGCAAGUCGAACGAUGAAGCCCAGCUUGCUGGGUGGAUUAGUGGCGAACGGGUGAGUAACACGUGAGUAACCUGCCCUUAACUCUGGGAUAAGCCUGGGAAACUGGGUCUAAUGCCGGAUAGGAGCGUCCACCGCAUGGUGGGUGUUGGAAAGAUUUAUCGGUUUUGGAUGGACUCGCGGCCUAUCAGCUUGUUGGUGAGGUAAUGGCUCACCAAGGCGACGACGGGUAGCCGGCCUGAGAGGGUGACCGGCCACACUGGGACUGAGACACGGCCCAGACUCCUACGGGAGGCAGCAGUGGGGAAUAUUGCACAAUGGGCGCAAGCCUGAUGCAGCGACGCCGCGUGAGGGAUGACGGCCUUCGGGUUGUAAACCUCUUUCAGUAGGGAAGAAGCGAAAGUGACGGUACCUGCAGAAGAAGCACCGGCUAACUACGUG